AGCGAACGCUGGCGGCAGGCCUAAUACAUGCAAGUCGAACGGCUCUUCGGAGCAGUGGCGGACGGGUGAGUAACGCGUGGGAAUGUGCCCUUAGGUACGGAACAACACAGGGAAACUUGUGCUAAUACCGUAUGUCCCCUUCGGGGGAAAGAUUUAUCGCCUUUGGAGCAGCCCGCGUUGGAUUAGGUAGUUGGUGAGGUAAAGGCUCACCAAGCCGACGAUCCAUAGCUGGUCUGAGAGGAUGACCAGCCACACUGGGACUGAGACACGGCCCAGACUCCUACGGGAGGCAGCAGUAGGGAAUCUUGCGCAAUGGGCGAAAGCUUGACGCAGCCAUGCCGCGUGUAUGAUGAAGGUCUUAGGAUUGUAAAAUACUUUCACCGGGGAAGAUAAUGACGGUACCCGGAGAAGAAGCCCCGGCUAACUUCGUGCCAGCCGCCGCCGUAA
Molecule: ribosomal RNA, 447 nt
Filed under: uncultured bacterium
Lineage: Bacteria
Description: partial 16S ribosomal RNA
Rfam family: Bacterial small subunit ribosomal RNA
Source: RNAcentral